AUACAUUCUUAAACCCUCUUGGUAGCUUCGCUCUAAAUGCUUCCAAGAUAUGAGUGAAUGCUGUAGAAAUUGCAGAGGAGUCCAAAGGACUACACUUCCCCUGUGGCUCAGUCUUAUUUCAUACCUGUGACAUCU
Prolemur simus (greater bamboo lemur) is the source of this 135-nucleotide small nucleolar RNA. Lineage: Eukaryota; Metazoa; Chordata; Mammalia; Primates; Lemuridae. The record is from Ensembl.